Long non-coding RNA from Pongo pygmaeus (Bornean orangutan), 558 nucleotides. RefSeq lists it as uncharacterized. The transcript has 3 exons. Lineage: Eukaryota; Metazoa; Chordata; Mammalia; Primates; Hominidae. The record is from RefSeq and is a predicted model, not a curated record.
GGCUCCUGCUUUGCCGUGGUAAGACGUGCUUGCUUCCUUUUCGCCUUCUGCUGUAAUUCUAAGUUUCCUGACGCCUCCUGGUCAUGCUUCCUGUUAAACCUGUGGAACUGUCUUGUUUCAGUGAGAAUGUAAAGUACGUGCACUAUGUGCUUUGUGAUGAAGUCGUUGAUUUAUUUCACUUUGGAACAAGCACACCACAACAAAGUGAGAAUGAGAAGAUGGAGUCUCACUCUGUUGCCGGAGCUGGAGUGCAGUGGCACGAUCUGUGCUCACUGUAACCGCUGCCUCCAGGUUCAAGCAAUUCUUUUGCCUCGGCCUCCCGAGUAGCUGGGACUACAGGCAAGCGCCACCACGCCUGGCUAAUAUUUGUAUUUUUAGUAGAGAUGGAGUUUUACCAUAUUGACCAGGCUGCUUGCGAAGUCCAGACCUUGUGGUCAGGCUGGUCUCGAAUUUCUGAUCUCAUGAUCCUCCUGCCUCGGCCUCGCAAAGUGCUGGGAUUACAGGCGUGAGCCACUGUGCCUGAUUCUUUACUUUCUUAAUAAACUUUCACUUUACUCU